Molecule: ribosomal RNA, 253 nt
Filed under: uncultured bacterium
Lineage: Bacteria
Description: partial 16S ribosomal RNA
Rfam family: Bacterial small subunit ribosomal RNA
Source: RNAcentral
UACGGGGGGGGCAAGCGUUGUUCGGAAUUACUGGGCGUAAAGGGCUCGUAGGUGGCCCCAUAAGUCAGACGUGAAAUCCCUCGGCUCAACCGAGGAACUGCGUCUGAGACUGUGGGGCUUGAAUCCGGGAGAGGGAUGCGGAAUUCCAGGUGUAGCGGUGAAAUGCGUAGAUAUCUGGAGGAACACCGGUGGCGAAGGCGGCAUCCUGGACCGGUAUUGACACUGAGGCGCGAAAGCCAGGGGAGCAAACGGG